CCCUUAGAUGUUCUGGGCUGCACGCGCGCUACACUGACACACUCAGCGAGUUCCUGUACCGAGAGGUUCGGGUAAUCAUGUGAGCGUGUGUCGUGAUGGGGAUAGAAUAUUGUAAUUAUUGCUCUUCAACGAGGAAUUCCUAGUAAGCGCAAGUCAGCAGCUUGCGCUGAUUACGUCCCUGCCCUUUGUGCACACCGCCCGUCGCUCCUACCGAUUGGGUGAUCCGGUGAAUGACUCGGACUUUGACGUUCCUAGACACUAGGUUCGUCGAGGGAAGUUUUGUGAACCUUAUCACUUGGAGGAAGGAGAAGUCGUANCA
RNAcentral lists this ribosomal RNA (319 nucleotides) under uncultured eukaryote. RNAcentral's name for it is "partial 18S ribosomal RNA". It matches the Rfam family "Eukaryotic small subunit ribosomal RNA", at positions 1470 to 1796 of the family's 1831-position model. The record is from RNAcentral.